This 422-nucleotide ribosomal RNA is filed under the name uncultured soil bacterium. Its description in RNAcentral is "bacterial SSU rRNA". It matches the Rfam family "Bacterial small subunit ribosomal RNA", at positions 26 to 431 of the family's 1533-position model. The record is from RNAcentral.
AGAUUGAACGCUGGCGGCAGGCCUGACACAUGCAAGUCGAGCGGUAGAGAGGUGCUUGCACCUCUUGAGAGCGGCGGACGGGAGAGUAAUGCCUAGGAAUCUGCCUAGUGGUGGGGGAUAACGUUCGGAAACGGACGCUAAUACCGCAUACGUCCUACGGGAGAAAGCGGGGGACCUUCGGGCCUCGCGCCAUUAGAUGAGCCUAGGUCGGAUUAGCUAGUUGGUGAGGUAAUGGCUCACCAAGGCGACGAUCCGUAACUGGUCUGAGAGGAUGAUCAGUCACACUGGAACUGAGACACGGUCCAAGACCUCCGUACGGGAGCAGCAGGUGGGGAAUAGUUGGACAAAGUGGGGACGUAAAGCCGUGACUCCAAGCCAGUCGCCGCGUGUGUAGAAGUAAGGUCGUUCGGAUUUAGAAAGUC